GAUGAACGCUGGCGGCGUGCCUAAUACAUGCAAGUCGAGCGAACGGACGAGAAGCUUGCUUCUCUGAUGUUAGCGGCGGACGGGUGUGUAACACGUGGAUAACCUACCUAUAAGACUGGGAUAACUUCGGGAAACCGGAGCUAAUACCGGAUAAUAUUUUGAACCGCAUGGUUCAAAAGUGAAAGACGGUCUUGCUGUCACUUAUAGAUGGAUCCGCGCUGCAUUAGCUAGUUGGUAAGGUAACGGCUUACCAAGGCAACGAUGCAUAGCCGACCUGAGAGGGUGAUCGGCCACACUGGAACUGAGACACGGUCCAGACUCCUACGGGAGGCAGCAGUAGGGAAUCUUCCGCAAUGGGCGAGAGCCUGACGGAGCAACGCCGCGUGAGUGAUGAAGGUCUUCGGAUCGUAAAACUCUGUUAUUAGGGAAGAACAUAUGUGUAAGUAACUGCGCACAUCUUGACGGUACCUAAUCAGAAAGCCACGGCUAACUACGUGCCAGCAGCCGCGGUAAUACGUAGGUGGCAAGCGUUAUCCGGAAUUAUUGGGCGUAAAGCGCGCGUAGGCGGUUUUUUAAGUCUGAUGUGAAAGCCCACGGCUCAACCGUGGAGGGUCAUUGGAAACUGGAAAACUUGAGUGCAGAAGAGGAAAGUGGAAUUCCAUGUGUAGCGGUGAAAUGCGCAGAGAUAUGGAGGAACACCAGUGGCGAAGGCGACUUUCUGGUCUGUAACUGACGCUGAUGUGCGAAAGCGUGGGGAUCAAACAGGAUUAGAUACCCUGGUAGUCCACGCCGUAAACGAUGAGUGCUAAGUGUUAGGGGGUUUCCGCCCCUUAGUGCUGCAGCUAACGCAUUAAGCACUCCGCCUGGGGAGUACGACCGCAAGGUUGAAACUCAAAGGAAUUGACGGGGACCCGCACAAGCGGUGGAGCAUGUGGUUUAAUUCGAAGCAACGCGAAGAACCUUACCAAAUCUUGACAUCCUUUGACAACUCUAGAGAUAGAGCCUUCCCCUUCGGGGGACAAAGUGACAGGUGGUGCAUGGUUGUCGUCAGCUCGUGUCGUGAGAUGUUGGGUUAAGUCCCGCAACGAGCGCAACCCUUAAGCUUAGUUGCCAUCAUUAAGUUGGGCACUCUAAGUUGACUGCCGGUGACAAACCGGAGGAAGGUGGGGAUGACGUCAAAUCAUCAUGCCCCUUAUGAUUUGGGCUACACACGUGCUACAAUGGACAAUACAAAGGGCAGCGAAACCGCGAGGUCAAGCAAAUCCCAUAAAGUUGUUCUCAGUUCGGAUUGUAGUCUGCAACUCGACUACAUGAAGCUGGAAUCGCUAGUAAUCGUAGAUCAGCAUGCUACGGUGAAUACGUUCCCGGGUCU
This 1372-nucleotide ribosomal RNA is filed under the name uncultured bacterium. RNAcentral's name for it is "bacterial SSU rRNA". It matches the Rfam family "Bacterial small subunit ribosomal RNA", at positions 28 to 1381 of the family's 1533-position model. The record is from RNAcentral.